Molecule: long non-coding RNA, 2854 nt
Organism: Peromyscus eremicus (cactus mouse)
Lineage: Eukaryota; Metazoa; Chordata; Mammalia; Rodentia; Cricetidae
Exons: 8
Source: RefSeq, a predicted model, not a curated record
GGCCAAUCAGCGGCCGCCCCUGGAGCUGAGGGGGCGGGGCCGAGGCUCGAGUCCCGAAGAGGCGCUUGGCGACAGGAGAAGGGGACGUGGAGUGGCAGGCGCGCUGGCCAAUCGGGACGAGAGGAGCGAAUCUUGGCGAGUGGGGUUUGGCGCGUGGAAGACUUGAAGGCGUUACAAAACAAGUUACACUGUGAACUUGUGUGCCUGCGGGGGAGGAGACUUGUAGGGUGCCCACCAGGAGAACGCCACGUACAACGCCAGGGGCACAUUGGCAACUCGGAAAGUACUCGUUCUUAAACUCCGCUUUGCUCAGCACACUUAAAACAAGUACAGUCAUCUUCCCAGCCCACUGGACCACUCUCUGCUAAGGUGUGAUACCUUCUGCAGCAGAAUGGCUGACUGGCCAGAGGUUCCCGUCACUUUGAACCCUGAGCCAUUAUCAAGAUAUCUCUAAGGCAAGUUUUAUCAUCAAGACAACAUUGACUUCCUAAGAUACCAAGACUAUAGCCCAUCAUGGCCAAGAAGGUAUGGCAGCAGGAGCCAGAGGUGGCUGUUGCCAAUGUGUCCAGAGUGUCUUGUUCCAGGUGGAUCACUGACUAAAACAAUUCCUCCUUUCUACCAUAAGAAUCACCAUUUUUGAUUCCUUUGUUGUUUCAAGAUUGGGUCUCAUGUAACCUGGAUUGGCCCAGAAUUCCCUGUGUAGUGCAUGCUGGUUUUGAGCCCCACUGUGUGAUGCAAGCAAGUCUUAAACCCCCCUGUGUAGCAGGCUGAUCUUGAACUCCAAUCUUCCUGCCUCCACAUCCCAAGCAUUGGGAUUAAAGACAUGUGCCACCAUGCUUGGUUAUUUUGUGAUUCCUUUUUUUAAGCUAUAUUUUUAAUUUAUGUGUGUGGGUGCUUUGCCUAUGUGUGUGCUUACCAUGUGUGUGCUAUGCUCAUGGAGGCCAGAAGAGAGUGUUGUAUCUUCAGGACUUGGAGUUACAGAUUGUGAGCCACCAGGGGUUGCUGGCAACUGAACCCUGGUCCUCUGCAAGAGCAGCAAUAGCUCUUAAGUGCUGAGUCAUCUCUUCAGUGCCUGUUUUGUAACUCUUGACAUUUAACAGACAAGUAUUGUCCUGUAGCCCAUACAGGCCUGGAGCUCUCCAUCUGCUGCUUCAGCCUUCUACAUGCAGGUAUUUAGGCAUGUACCACCUCUGAUAAAACAGUUCCAAAACCUGAAAUGCAACUCCAACUUGUGGUGUCAUUUUUAGUGAAUUUACCGAAGUCUUGAAGGCAUGUUUUUAACACUGCUCUGAUCCAGUGGAUUCAGUGAGAUCACCUUCCAUGCUUGGCACUGUUAAUUUUGUCAGAUUAAUUUCCUUUGGCUCUAUCUAUAUAGGCUAUAUAUAUACUGACUGCUGUGAUACACCUCUAAUAAGCUCAUAAACUACACUUACAGUACUUAUACUUACACUGACAGUCAAACAAAUCAGGUUUUGUGAAAAAGGACAUUAGUACAUUUAGCUUUAAAAAAAAAAAAAACAAACUAACCAGUGACAUAUAUACAGGUUUAAGGGCAGAGGAAAAAACACUGGACUUGAUUUUAUGUUCACCUUUGUAGAUCCUCAUUAAUAAUCAUACUAGUAUAAUAAAGUAACCAGAAAUACAGUUUACCUAUCAAUCUAUGUGUGUGCAGAUAUUUGUGUAUUUAUUUAGUAUGUACACCAUUGGUGUAUUUAUUUAGUAUGUAUGUACACCAAAUACUGGAAUUGCUUCAAUCCUAUAUCCAUUUACCUUUUUAAAGUAGUCAUACAGGCAUAUGAAAAAAAAGAAGAAAAACACAGUAUCAGACUAUUCAGAAGCGAAUAUAAAUAGCUACUGUCACUGUUUCUGCAGAAGAAAACAUUUCUGUGCUUUUGCCAGUUACUUUCAGUAAGUUCUGUCAACACUGAUCUCAGAACAUAAAAAUAAUAUUCUCAACUGACUUGAAAUUAUAUUAUUACAUGAAGAAAGGCAGAAUGUGAGACAUGGUUUCUUCUUGGCUAAUUGAACAUUUUCAUCUAAAUGAGGGAAAAUGUUUCCUUUAAUACCAGUCAUUCAAUAAGCAGAAUACAGUUACAGUAAAGUUAGUGAUCUCAGUUGAUAACAGCAUAAUGAUUACAGGAGGAAACGAAUAACCCAAAUAUUCUCCUGUGAAUGUCACCUCAGGAGCUGCUUCUCUGGGGCUGCUGAGUCCUGACAGGCUGCUGUGCUUCUAAGGGCUCAUGGUGCUCUGCAGCAGCACUGCCUGAGAGGACACGGAAAGGCUCUGCUCGGCUUACAUGUUGAGAGGCAUCUAGGUUGUUUCCAGGUUCUGGCUAUUACGAAUAAUGCUGCUGUGAACAUAGUUGAGCAAGUGUCUUUGAGAUGUAAAGCAAAGAACAACCAGACUACAACCUACAGUUCAAGAGAAGCUAGAGCCUUCAUCCAGUAACUGAUGGAAGCAGAUGCAGAGAUCCAGAGCCAAGCACCAGGCCAAGCUCCAGGAGUCCAGUCAAAGAGGGGAAGAGUUAUUCUAUGAGCAAGGAGCAUCAAGAUCAUGAUGGGGAAACCUACAGAGACAACCAAACCAAACUAGUGGGAACUCACUAACUUUAGAACAACAGCUAUGGAGCCUCCAUGGGACUGGACUAGGCCCUUUACAUAAUUGAGACAGUUGUGCAGCUUGAUCUGCUUAAGCAGCUUCCCUGGCAGUAGGAUCAGGAUCCAUCCCUGGUGCAUGAGCUGGCUUUCUGGAGCCCACUACCUCUAGUGGAACACCUUGUACAGCCUUGAUGCAGGGGAGAGGGGCUUGGAUCUGCCUCAACUAAAUGUACUAUGCUCUGCUGACUCCCCAUGG